Lycium ferocissimum is the source of this 1354-nucleotide long non-coding RNA. RefSeq lists it as uncharacterized. The transcript is spliced from 2 exons. The record is from RefSeq and is a predicted model, not a curated record. Lineage: Eukaryota; Viridiplantae; Streptophyta; Magnoliopsida; Solanales; Solanaceae.
GAACACAGCAGAAACAGGUUGUACCAUAAGCUGUUUGAAAUGUACUCUAAACUUGGGCUUAUUCUAUUGGGUAUUUCAUUCUUUCGUUCUUGCCCUGUCGACACGUGUAUUUGCACUAUUAUAUCACCAACGCUCGAUACUCUCAUCAGCAAACAUUGAGUCUCGAAGCUUCAGACUAGGAUCUCUGAAGUUCUCUUUCUCCUGCACUCCUCCAGUUUCAGGUCUCUUGUGAUUUUUCUUUCUUCUUUCUUUUGCAAUUGAUGAUAGUUUUCAGAGAAUAUAAUGAUAGGGAGAUUAUGGAUGUAGCAAUUUUCUCUUUCCCCGGUCUCUUUAUGCUUUUUUUGAAAUAGAUUAUAAACGAAGACAAUUCCUUAACAACCUAUUCAAGAAGAUGGAGACAAUAUCUCUUGCUCAAACUUCAGGAAACGCUGGUCAUCUGAAUCAAGUUUGGGUGUACUAAAUGAUCACAGUGUGUAUGAACUUUGAGAUGAAUUUAAGAGAGGGCAGCUGCAAUAAAAGGCAUGAUCCAUGUUUUGUUUAAAGUUUUCCUCUGUUUUUGCUCUCUAAUUUCUAUUCUACCUUCUAACUCUAAUUUUGUGUUUUCUCUUUCUAUUUUAUCUGUGCAUGUUACCGUUAUGGUACUUGAAAUAUCAAGAAUGUUGGAAUUUUCUUCAUUUUGAUUGUCUACUCACCAUUUAGGAUCUUUUAAGAUUUAAAAGGUGUGUAAAACUUGGCUCCUGAUUUUGCAGAUUGCAAUCUUUCCCCCUUCAAGUUGACACACAACAAUGAGGUACCUUCAUCUCCUUAUUGUGGUAUGUACCUCUUUUCAUGAAUGUUAAGUAUUGUUUUGGAAUCGACAAGUAAUUUUAUUACCUUUCAAGCCAUUUUCAAUUUGCUUCACCAUGUGUAUCUUGAAUUCCUUUUAUUUGCUUCGAUUGAAUGAAGAUGGGUGAGGUAGUUAUGUCAUUGUCAUUGGAUGUGUCCUCUUUACUGCAAUUUAUUUUAAUUAUCUAUUAUGAAGCUAGACUAUCAGUAGCAAUUCACUAAUUAGAGAUUAUGAAUUUACUAUGUUAACAAAAGGAAAAUGACGCAAUAGUCUACUAUGUUGCUGAUGCUCCAUACUUUGUUUAGCUUAUUAUUCAAGAGUCACCAACCUGAUGUGAACUUGUUCUCCCUUUAUAAUAAAAUUCAUUGGGUAUAGGAUAGUAGAUAUUUGAGGCAGGUUUACCCAAGAUGGUAGAUUAGGGAACAUGAACCAGAAUACAGGGGGAAACUUCUUUUUCUCAUCUUUCAGUUUUCCAUUUUACAUAACAGGAAAGCAGACGACGUCAAUUGACAGUCUCCAGUGUGUUAG